AACGAACGCUGGCGGCAGGCCUAACACAUGCAAGUCGAACGCUCCAGCAAUGGAGAGUGGCAGACGGGUGAGUAACGCGUGGGAACCUUCCCUAUGGUUCGGAAUAGCUCAGGGAAACUUGAGGUAAUACCGGAUAAGCCCUUCGGGGAAGAUUUAUCGCCAUUGGAUGGGCCCGCGUAGGAUUAGCUAGUUGGUGAGGUAACGGCUCACCAAGGCGACGAUCCUUAGCUGGUCGAGAGGAUGAUCAGCCACACUGGGACUGAGACACGGCCCAGACUCCUACGGGAGGCAGCAGUGGGGAAUCUUGCGCAAUGGGCGAAAGCCUGACGCAGCGACGCCGCGUGA
This 345-nucleotide ribosomal RNA is filed under the name uncultured bacterium. Its description in RNAcentral is "bacterial SSU rRNA". It matches the Rfam family "Bacterial small subunit ribosomal RNA", at positions 29 to 404 of the family's 1533-position model. The record is from RNAcentral.